CCUGGAACCUGGGCCCGGACACUGUGUUUCUGGCGAGUGUUCUGUCUUGCUGUGUUCACCUUACUCCUCCAACACGGGAUUUUUGUACAUUCUAGUGAAGAUGCGGGUCGGCCGCGAUGUAGUAUUGGGGCAGCCUUGUUAGACCACCAAGCCCUGGACUUGACUUCCCAGGCCCACAGUCCUUUUGUGGCUGUGUUCCUCGUUGCACCGAUCAAUCAGUCUCUGCUGUCUGGAAGCCAUCUUGCUUGAGUACUGACUCGCCACCAUGUCGUCAGUGAAGGUGGCUGUGAGGGUUCGUCCCUUCAACAACCGCGAGAUAGCUCGCGAGUCUAAAUGCAUCAUAGAUAUGGGAGGCAAAACCACAAGUAUAACCAACCCCAAGGUACCACCCGGCAGCAAGGAAGCCUCCAAGAACUUCAACUUCGACUAUUCCUAUUGGUCACAUAACGUAAAUGACCGAAAUUUUGCUUCACAAUCACAUGUGUUCAAAGACAUAGGGGAAGAAAUGUUGCAACAUGCCUUUGAAGGUUACAAUGUGUGCAUUUUUGCCUACGGUCAGACGGGAGCAGGGAAAUCCUAUACAAUGAUGGGCAAGCAAGAGGAAGGUCAAGAGGGAAUCAUUCCUCUUGUUUGUAAAGACAUGUUUCAGAGAAUUGCAGACUGCACAGAUGGAGAACUACAGUAUUCUGUUGAGGUGAGUUACAUGGAGAUCUACUGUGAACGUGUACGAGACCUGUUGAAUCCAAAGAAACAAAACAAUCUCCGUGUGCGUGAACAUCCUCUUCUGGGUCCAUAUGUAGAAGACCUUGCAAAAUUAGCAGUCACAACAUAUGAAGAUAUUCACAAUUUAAUAGAUGAAGGUAACAAAGCCAGGACAGUUGCAGCAACCAACAUGAAUGAAACAUCAUCACGUUCCCAUGCAGUAUUUACGAUUGUGUUAACUCAGCGUCGAAAUGACACCACCACCAAACUCUCAUCAGAACGAGUUUCUAAGAUAUCUUUAGUCGAUUUAGCUGGUUCUGAGCGAGCAGACUCCACAGGAGCAAAGGGCACUCGUCUGAAAGAAGGUGCCAAUAUCAACAAAUCCUUAACAACACUGGGCAAGGUCAUCUCUGGUCUUGCUGAAGUAGCAAAUAAGGCUUCUAAACCAAACAAAAGGAGGAAAACAGAAUUCAUCCCUUAUCGUGACUCAGUGCUGACCUGGCUAUUACGAGAAAAUCUAGGUGGAAAUAGCAAAACAGCCAUGAUAGCAGCCAUAUCACCAGCAGAUAUUAAUUAUGAUGAGACACUUUCAACUCUUAGGUAUGCAGAUAGAGCAAAACAAAUUCGUUGCAAUGCCGUAGUUAAUGAAGAUGCUAAUGCCAAAUUAAUCCGUGAGCUGAAGGAGGAGAUCCAGCGUCUACGUGAACUGCUGAAGCAAGAGGGCAUUGAAGUUCAGGAAGCAGGCCUGGAUGGCAAGGUCAUCUGCCACAAUGACAACCGUCCUGCUGACCUGGGGUCAUGUCAAGAGAUCACCAAAGUGAUGAACAGCAACAAUGACAAGGAGACCCCACAGAUUACCUCGCCUGUAUCCACUGUUGCUGAAGUGGCUGCGGAUCAACUCCAUGCCAAUGAGAAACUUAUUGCAGAACUGAAUGAAACUUGGGAAGAGAAAUUGAAACGCACUGAAAGUAUACGUCUGCAGCGAGAAGCUGUUUUUGCUGAAAUGGGAGUAGCAUUAAAGGAAGACGGAAAUACUGUUGGUAUUUUCUCUCCUAAAAAGACACCUCAUCUUGUGAAUCUUAAUGAAGAUCCCUCAAUGUCAGAAUGCUUACUCUACUACAUCAAAGAUGGUUUCACUAAAGUUGGCUCUGCAGAUUCAAACAUUCCACAAGAUAUUCAACUCUGUGGUUCUCACAUUAUGGCAGAACACUGCCAGUUUGAGAAUCAUGAAGGUGUUGUCUCGAUUCACCCUAAACCUCAAGCGUUGUGCUACGUCAAUGGCCGUGAAGUAAAUGAGGCAACUAUUCUAAAAACUGGUUCUCGUGUCAUUCUUGGCAAGAAUCAUGUUUUCAGGUUCAAUCACCCUGAGCAAGCUCGUGAGCGCCGAGAAACAAAAUCGCCUACUGAAACUCCAGGUUCAGGAGAGCCAGCAGAUUGGCAGUUUGCUCAAAUUGAGCUGUUAGAGAAGCAGGGUAUUGAUUUAAAAGAAGAAAUGCAGAAACGGUUGGUGGCCCUCGAAGAGCAGUAUCAAAGAGAGAAAGAGGAGGCUCAGAAAGAAUUUGAAAAGGAAAGAAAGAACUAUGAGGCAAGGAUUGAUGCUCUACAGAAACAGGUGGAGGAGCAGAGUAUGACCAUGUCCAUGUAUUCUUCCUACACCCCAGAUGACUUCACCCAUGAAGAUGACAUCUUUGUAAACCCCUUGUUUGACGCAGAGUGCAACUGGACGGAACGGGAGUAUGCUUUGGCUUCCUGGGCAUUCCGCAAGUGGAAGUACCAUCAGUUCACUUCACUUCGAGAUGAUCUGUGGGGAAAUGCCAUCUUCCUCAAAGAAGCCAAUGCUAUUUCAGUCGAGCUAAAAAAGAAGGUUCAGUUCCAGUUCACACUGUUGACCGACACAUUGUAUUCACCGUUACCUCCUGAUUUCUUACCUCUAAUGGAAGAGGAUGAAGAGGAAGAUGAGGAUGACCGUCCUAUUCCCCGUACUAUUGUAGCUGUUGAAGUUCAGGAUACAAAGAAUGGCGCCACACAUUAUUGGACGUUAGAAAAAUUGAGACAUCGUUUGGAGUUGAUGCGUCAAAUCUACAACUCUGACGUGAGCCCAUACUCCCCGUUGCCCUCUCCGCCAACUGAGCCCCAGGGAGAUGACGAAGUGCAAACCUGCAUACCAGCGUGUAACCAGGCCAGGCUCUCCCUGUCCCAGCUGCUGCCUACGAGGCUCCAGAACUCCCGCAUACAACGUUUGGAGUUAAUGAGAGAAAUGUAUCAUAAUGAAGCUGAACUAUCACCCACCUCCCCGGAUUAUAACAUUGAAAGCCUAACAGGUGGAGACCCAUUCUACGAUCGCUUCCCUUGGUUCAGGCUUGUUGGCAGGGGGUUUCUGUACCUAAGUAAUCUUCUGUACCCUGUACCAUUGGUGCAUCGUGUUGCAAUUGUCAGCGAACGAGGUGAUGUCAAGGGAUAUCUAAAAGUUGCCGUACAAGCUGUUGUCGCAGCGGAAGAAGAUUCAGUCGAAAGUACACAACCAGCAGGAGUGCGACAAUCAGCAAGAAUAUCUUUCAAUGAAGGUACUUUUAAAAGACCGCGGACCAAACGAGGGUCGCUCUCUGCGCAGGUGUUGGAGAAGAACACAGCUGCAGCUGCCGAGGAGGAGCGUAUAGUUGAAGGUCAAGUAGGCUCAGGAGACAUUAUUAAACUAGAGGAUGAAGUGUGUGAAGUAGAUAGUGGUAGAGGUGAUAGUAGUGUUAGUUCCUGUGACAGUGGAAGAGAUGAUGACCUUCCGCCUCACCUUCGUAUCGGGCAAGAGCUUACCUUCCGUGUAACUGUUCUUCAGGCCUUUGAUGUGUCUACAGAAUAUGCUGACAUAUUCUGUCAGUUUAACUUCCUCCACAGACAUGAUGAAGCCUUCUCCACUGAACCAAUAAAAAAUACUGGAAAGGGACCACCACUGGGGUUCUAUCAUGUACAGAAUAUUACAGUAACAGUGACUCGAGCAUUCCUAGAAUACAUAAAAACACAACCUAUCGUGUUUGAAGUAUUUGGUCAUUAUCAGCAACACCCUCUACACCGCGAUGCCCGUCAAGAUGCCACGCAUUUCUUACCUCCUGGCAUGGUACUUCCCGGCAGCUCUCGGGCACCACCCAAGAGGAUGCAGCCUCCCGCCAUCCCCAUCAGUCAGCCAAUAAGGUCACCGAAGUUUGGUGUUGUACAGAGCCCCUCUACCUCACAUGUACAUGCUCGACAUGAUCUCCUCGUCUGGUUCGAAAUCUGUGAACUAGCACCGAGUGGAGAAUAUGUACCAGCAGUGGUUGAACAUGGAGAUGAUCUGCCAUGCCGAGGUCUCUUCCUUUUACAUCAGGGUAUCCAAAGACGUAUUCGCAUCACAAUUGUACAUGAACCUUCCCAUGAUCUGAUUUGGCGUGAUGUACGAGAACUUGUUGUUGGUCGAAUACGCACAACUCCAGAAAGUGAAGAUGACAAUAACGAUGCAUCAGUCUUGUCUUUGGGUCUGUUUCCGGGAGAGUGCCUAGAGUACCCUGGAGAAGACCGCACACUCUUCCGUUUUGAGGCAGCUUGGGACUCUUCUCUCCACAACUCCAUUAUGUUGAACCGUGUCACCCCACCAGGAGAGCAUGUAUAUAUGACCAUAUCUGCUUAUCUCGAGCUGGAAAACAAUGCACAGCCAGCCAUAAUCACCAAAGACCUGUGUAUGGUUGUUUACGGUCGAGACUCCCGAACUAUCCCACGUUCCCUUCGACAUAUCUUCAGUGGCUCAUACAAGAAUGCUGAGGCCAACAGGAUCUGCGGCGUUUAUGAGACAGUGCUAAAGCGCGCAGCUGAAGCAGGUAGCCCAGGAUUACAACGGAGGCAACGAAGAGUGCUGGACACAAGCUCCACUUACGUGCGUGGCGAAGAAAACCUUCAUGGAUGGAGGCCACGGGGAGACUCUCUCAUAUUUGAACAUCAGUGGGAAUUGGAAAAGAUUGCGCGCCUAACUCAAGUGGAGAAAACAAGACAUUUCCUCCUUCUACGGGAAAAGCUCGGUCUUGGUACCACACCCCAGCCUCUCAACCACCACCAUGACUUUACGAAAAGUGAAAAGGAGGUGGCUAAUCAAGCAGCCAAGGCUGGAUGUGAUGCUCGAGCUGUGUUGACGCGGUACUCCUCCAGGGACAUGCCUGCUACAGACUCUGAUAAUAUGAGUGAGGCAGAAAGAGCCACUGCUCUCAAAUUUGCCCGAUUCAUGCAAGGUCGGUCUGUACAGAUUCAUACAAAACAAGAAACUCCUGCACAGACUCCUGAUGAGCAAGAUGCUCUCACUGCCUCAGUCACCUCAUCCUGCUCUUCCACCACUUCAGCAGAGUUAGCCUCACCAGAGCGACCUCGUGCACCUGUACCAGAACUUCAUAUUGCUCUUGGUGGGUCGGCUGUAGUACCACCAGAUUCCCCCCUUGCAAGCCCUGGAGAUUCCGAUGGCUCGUCACCUCUGGUAGAGUGCAGACCGAUGCCACUCUUUGUCCCAGAGGUUGAGGAAAUACGUAUAUCACCAGUUGUCAGCCGAAAGGGCUACCUCAAUGUUCUGGAUGACCGAACCAACACCUGGAUAAAGAGAUGGGUGGUUGUACGACGACCAUAUGUAUUUAUCUUCCGAGAUGAGCGGGACCCUGUAGAACGAGGACUCAUUAAUUUGGCCACUGCCCAAAUUGAAUACUCUGAGGACCAACAGGCCAUGGUGCGGGUACCUAAUUCAUUCAGUGUGGUGACCAAACAGCGAGGCUUCCUAUUGCAGACCCUGGGAGACAAGGAAGUGCAUGAUUGGUUAUAUGCCAUCAACCCACUUUUAGCAGGACAGAUCAGAUCAAAGUUAGGUCGCCGUAGUCGUCACACAUCUGGUGGCAGCCACCCCAAUACCCUUUCUGUUCCGACUAAGUGAAAUAAGGACAAUCCAGGGUCUUAUCAGAGCCUCACACACCAACUUUAUGAGCAGCACAUGACAUCUGCUACAGCUUGAGUUGUCACUGACUUGUCACAUAUUCAUACUGUACUAAUUUCUAAACCAGUCAGGUACUGAAGACAACAGAAAAAUUAUAUGAGUGUUAUUUGUGUAAGAAAAAGCAAAAAAAUUACUUAAAAUCACUGUUCAACAGGACUGCACUGCCUGGGAUAGUGCGAACAGCAGCCCAGAGGCCUUCAGACAACAGCCUACCCCAGCAUCUAGCUGGUGCACAAAUGGGCCAGUAUCCUCUUGGUAACCUUACAAACAAUAAGCUAGGUUCAGAAUUAUUAUUAGCACCAAGAAAAAGUUUCUAUAACAAAAAUAAAGUCAUAUACUAGAAAUUUUUUAGUCAGAAGUACUCUGCAAUAGUUAUGACUUAUGGUUAAACCAUUGCUGUUGUGGAGUGUUUUUGGUUCAUUUUGAACUGUCCUUGCUUUAUACUUUCAUUCUUAAUCUUCCAGCACUCAUACGGCUAUUUCUUCCAUUGUUAUUCUCCCCUCACUACCAGAUUCUGUUACUACAGAAGAUUGUUAGGUUUGUGUGCACUAGUGUUGAACCUCUGUGAUGUCUCCCAGAACUGGACACUCACCUUGCCAAGCAGGGUAAAGGAUAGCAAUUCAAAGUCUUAUAUCUGUGAAAUCAGUAAUUAUAAGCCUUAGAUGGAUUUCAAUAAGGCACAUUUACUUGGCCAAAUUAGUCUUAUUGAAAGACUGUUUUAAUACUCAGAAUUGCUGAUCAUGUCACAGCUUCAUUAUUAUUAUUUUUUUUACUUCCCCCUUGUAGAAACUUGUCAUCAGAGGUAUUUUACCAUCUAAAUAAAGUAGAAUGUUUGUUUGUCAAGACACUUGACUUGGUGAUUGGAAGAAUGAAACCAAAGAUGUUAGUUGAUAAGUAUAAGCGUAUCUUUAUCUAGUCACAUGCAUCACCAUUACUCACCAUAGUAUAGUUUAAGUUUCUCAUAAAAUAUAUUAUUUCUUUUCAAUUGUUUGCUUAUUUGUUCCUUGAAGAGUAUAAAACUUUAUAUUUAUGGUUAACAAAGGUUGCAAGUGAUUGUCCUGCAACUAUGGGUUGCUACAUAUUAUGGAUAUACAUCAGGACAGUCAAGCUACAUCAUUUUUCACAAGUUGUUUUUCUUUUUUAUUCAGAGAACUAUAAUUUGGAUAUCAAUAUUUAAUGAUAUUGUGUUAUAAUAGAAUAUAUCUCAAACAAUUAUUUAUGAAACUCACUGUAAAGCUUGAUGUUUACAAUGAUAUGGCCAAAUGUAAUAAUUUAGUUUCUGUUUUAUUACCCUUUCUUAUGAUUUUUAAUAUCAUUGAUAUAUAUAUAUAUAUAUAUAUAUAUAUAUAUAUAUAUAUAUAUAUAUAUAUAUAUAUAUAUAUAUAUAUAUAUAUAUAUAUAUAUAUAUAUAUAUAUAUAUAUAUAUAUAUAUAUAAUUAUAUAUAAUGUGUGUGUCUAUCCGUGUUUAAAAUAAUAAAGCCUCAAGGCAAUGAAUUAUGUGGGCCUUGGAAAAUUUGUGUAAGGCCAAAUGGCAUUUUUAAUUGGUCAAAAUACCAUAGAGAAUUAUUAAAAAUGACAACAGACUCUUUGAAUUAUUU
Molecule: unclassified non-coding RNA, 7290 nt
Filed under: Homarus americanus (American lobster)
Lineage: Eukaryota; Metazoa; Arthropoda; Malacostraca; Decapoda; Nephropidae
Description: kinesin-like protein unc-104, transcript variant X1
Source: RNAcentral